RNAcentral lists this long non-coding RNA (261 nucleotides) under Nicotiana benthamiana. Its description in RNAcentral is "long non-coding RNA (NBEN_LNC042600)". Lineage: Eukaryota; Viridiplantae; Streptophyta; Magnoliopsida; Solanales; Solanaceae. The record is from RNAcentral.
UAAAAUUGCAACUGGUAUGUCUUUCUAGUUAAAUAAUACCCCCCUACACUAUGUGUUUAUUUCCCUUCUUCUGUUAUGAAUUCUCCAUUAUAUGCUCCUUUUAGUCUGUAAUGCUCUCUUUCAUUCUGUUUUGCACCUUAAAGUCUGUUAUGCUCUUUCUUUAUGUUUCUGCACCCUUAGUUUGUUAUGCAUUUUUUCUUGUGCUUCUGUGAAUUUUCUCUAUGUGAGUCCCCUUCCCUUUGACCCUCUCUUAUGUGUGAG